UGGGGUUCAUCGUAAUCUUAAACAUAAUAAGAUGCAGCUAAAAUGAUGAAUCAAUACCAUAUUUUAUUAUCAAAUAAUAAAUAUCAUUAUAUAAGUUAAAAAAUUAUAAAGAAAAGUUCUAGCGCAACACACUUGCGAUUGACUUAUAGGGUACUCUUCUUUCACUAGUUGCAUCCUACUCCUAAUAGUGAACCUGAACCUACUAUAGCCAACAUACACAAAAGGACCCGAAUG
RNAcentral lists this long non-coding RNA (234 nucleotides) under Elaeis guineensis (African oil palm). RNAcentral's name for it is "long non-coding RNA (EGUI_LNC058341)". The record is from RNAcentral. Lineage: Eukaryota; Viridiplantae; Streptophyta; Magnoliopsida; Arecales; Arecaceae.